This 399-nucleotide ribosomal RNA is filed under the name uncultured bacterium. RNAcentral describes it as "bacterial SSU rRNA". It matches the Rfam family "Bacterial small subunit ribosomal RNA", at positions 358 to 773 of the family's 1533-position model. The record is from RNAcentral.
GGAAUAUUGCACAAUGGGGGAAACCCUGAUGCAGCAACGCCGCGUGAGUGAAGGAGUGUUUCGGCGCGUAAAGCUCUGUCAGCGGGGAAGAAAGAAGACGGUACCCGACCAAGAAGCCCCGGCUAACUACGUGCCAGCAGCCGCGGUAAUACGUAGGGGGCGAGCGUUAUACGGAAUUACUGGGUGUAGAGGGAGCGUAGACGGCGAAGUAAGCCUGAAGUGGAAGCCCGCCGCCCAACCGCGGAACUGCUUUGGGAACUGUUUUGCUUGAGUAUGGGAGGGGUAAGCGGAAUUCCUGGUGUAGCGGUGAAAUGCGUAGAUAUCAGGAGGAACACCGGUGGCGAAGGCGGCUUACUGGACCAUGACUGACGUUGAGGCUCGAAAGCGUGGGGAGCGAAC